GCGAAGGACAUCGUGCAAGGUGCCGCAACGGAGAUUCUCCGCAGCGGUUAAACGGGAAGCAGGUGCGUGUUCUUCAGAACACCAGGCCUGAGCUGCCCCCGCAACGGUAAGUGAGUGCGGGUGUGUCGAAAUGCCACUGGGCGAGAGCCUGGGAAGGCGACACAUCAAGACUCGCGAGCCCGGAUACCGGCCUUCGCACACAUUUGACG
Molecule: non-coding RNA, 209 nt
Filed under: Candidatus Accumulibacter
Lineage: Bacteria; Pseudomonadati; Pseudomonadota; Betaproteobacteria
Source: RNAcentral